GUUAGGAAUAUUGGACAAUGGGCGAAAGCCUGAUCCAGCCAUGCCGCGUGUGUGAAGAAGGUCUUCGGAUUGUAAAGCACUUUAAGUUGGGAGGAAGGGCAGUAAGUUAAUACCUUGCUGUUUUGACGUUACCGACAGAAUAAGCACCGGCUAACUUCGUGCCAGCAGCCGCGGUAAUACGAAGGGUGCAAGCGUUAAUCGGAAUUACUGGGCGUAAAGCGCGCGUAGGUGGUUUUGUAAGUUGGAGGUGAAAUCCCCGGGCUCAACCUGGGAACUGCCUCCAAAACUGCAUGACUAGAGUACGGUAGAGGGUAGUGGAAUUUCCUGUGUAGCGGUGAAAUGCGUAGAUAUAGGAAGGAACACCAGUGGCGAAGGCGACUACCUGGACUGAUACUGACACUGAGGUGCGAAAGCGUGGGGAGCAAACAGGAUUAGAAACCCGUGUAGUCC
This 450-nucleotide ribosomal RNA is filed under the name uncultured bacterium. RNAcentral's name for it is "bacterial SSU rRNA". It matches the Rfam family "Bacterial small subunit ribosomal RNA", at positions 354 to 796 of the family's 1533-position model. The record is from RNAcentral.